RNAcentral lists this ribosomal RNA (253 nucleotides) under uncultured bacterium. Its description in RNAcentral is "partial 16S ribosomal RNA". It matches the Rfam family "Bacterial small subunit ribosomal RNA", at positions 524 to 776 of the family's 1533-position model. The record is from RNAcentral.
UACGGAGGGUGCGAGCGUUGUCCGGAAUCACUGGGCGUAAAGGGCGCGUAGGUGGCGUCGCAAGUCAACGGUGAAAGCUCGACGCUCAACGUCGAGUCGGCCGUCGAGACUGCGAGGCUUGAGCACUGUAGAGGCAGAUGGAAUUCCGGGUGUAGCGGUGGAAUGCGUAGAGAUCCGGAAGAACACCGGUGGCGAAGGCGGUCUGCUGGGCAGUUGCUGACACUGAGGCGCGACAGCGUGGGGAGCAAGCAGG